This 303-nucleotide long non-coding RNA is filed under the name Musa acuminata (dwarf banana). RNAcentral's name for it is "long non-coding RNA (MACU_LNC005781)". Lineage: Eukaryota; Viridiplantae; Streptophyta; Magnoliopsida; Zingiberales; Musaceae. The record is from RNAcentral.
AUAGCUCAAGAGAUUUGCACCUACUUGAAUGUCUAACUUUAUCCUUAAUCUCAUUAAUCAAGAGAUAGCUCAAGAGAUUUGCACCUACUCUCUUAGGAUUUAGCCAUUUUCCCUAAAUGUUUUGGUUGCCUUAGUAUUAGGGACAUCCAUCUUACCAAGUUUACUCUUCAAUCUAAAUGCAUUGCUUAAUACCUCAAUAGGAAAGAUUCUAUCAAGGGUAAAUGUGGUUUCUGUCAAAUAUAUAGGGUGACUCCUUGGGAUGAUAAGGUUUGCACCAACAUUAAUCGGAGAUGGAGACUUUUU